Molecule: long non-coding RNA, 711 nt
Organism: Lycium ferocissimum
Lineage: Eukaryota; Viridiplantae; Streptophyta; Magnoliopsida; Solanales; Solanaceae
Exons: 2
Source: RefSeq, a predicted model, not a curated record
ACAAUCUCUAUAUGGUAAUUCAAUUUUUUUGUGUGACAUGUAUUUAGAAUAUGUACUUCAUCUGUACAUCCACUUGUCUUUAAGCUAAAAUGUGGGAGCUUGAACAUAGGCUAUCUGAGAAGCUAUAUAAUGCAUUGUACUAAGGAGAUUAUGGAAUACCAACAAUUCAUACUAUUUACCAAUCCCAAAAAAAAAAAAAAAAAAAACUUUCAAGAUAAGUGGUUCUUGAAAAACUGAUAUAUGCGCUCAACGACCUCUGCCAUGAAGUGAAUGUAAAGACAAUUAUAAAUUAUUCCCAUGGACAUAUGACCCUUUAUCAAAUUCUAUAGCUCUCUACUCAGAUCCUCUUCCACUUCACUUACAUUGACCGUGUAGAAGAUUCUGGUAGAUUACUGAAGUAAUAAUCUAAAUUAAGCUAUAUCAGUUAUUUCCUAGGUGCCUUCAAUUUGUUUGUAAAUUAUAGAUUUGGUCAGUUGGUGAAAAUAUAGUACUUUACAACUCAUAUGGUACUUUGAAAAUGAAGGAGCUUAAUUGCUCCCUGAGCCAUAAUAAGUGGAAUUAGAGAAAAAGUGGGUUAAUUUCAAAGAUGUUAAAAGAACAUGAGGACUAAUGAUCUAAUGAUGGAUCACAAAUAGGUAGUAUUGAAGUCGAGGAUUACAAGAUAAUUAUAAGGUUAUAAUCAUAGCAUUCAAUUCUACAUAAAAUUGUGCU